Molecule: ribosomal RNA, 492 nt
Filed under: uncultured bacterium
Lineage: Bacteria
Description: partial 16S ribosomal RNA
Rfam family: Bacterial small subunit ribosomal RNA
Source: RNAcentral
AGUGAACGCUGGCGGUAGACCUAACACAUGCAAGUCGAACGGCAGCACAGUAAGAGCUUGCUCUUACGGGUGGCGAGUGGCGGACGAGUGAGGAAUACAUCGGAAUCUACUUUUUCGUGGGGGAUAACGUAGGGAAACUUACGCUAAUACCGCAUACGACCUACGGGUGAAAGCAGGGGAUCUUCGGACCUUGCGCGAUUGAAUGAGCCGAUGUCGGAUUAGCUAGUUGGCGGGGUAAAGGCCCACCAAGGCGACGAUCCGUAGCUGGUCUGAGAGGAUGAUCAGCCACACUGGAACUGAGACACGGUCCAGACUCCUACGGGAGGCAGCAGUGGGGAAUAUUGGACAAUGGGCGAAAGCCUGAUCCAGCCAUACCGCAUGGGUGAAGAAGGCCUUCGGGUUGUAAAGCCCUUUUGUUGGGAAAGAAAAGCAGCAGGUUAAUACCCCGCUGUUCUGACGGUACCCAAAGAAUAAGCACCGGCUAACUUCGUG